RNAcentral lists this ribosomal RNA (445 nucleotides) under uncultured bacterium. RNAcentral's name for it is "partial 16S ribosomal RNA". It matches the Rfam family "Bacterial small subunit ribosomal RNA", at positions 354 to 796 of the family's 1533-position model. The record is from RNAcentral.
GUGAGGAAUAUUGGUCAAUGGGCGAGAGCCUGAACCAGCCAAGUCGCGUGAAGGAUGAAGGUUUUAUGAAUUGUAAACUUCUUUUGCAGGGGAAUAAAGUACGGUACGUGUACCGUUUUGUAUGUACUCUGCGAAUAAGGAUCGGCUAACUCCGUGCCAGCAGCCGCGGUAAUACGGAGGAUCCAAGCGUUAUCCGGAUUGAUUGGGUUUAAAGGGUGCGCAGGCGGGUUGAUAAGUCAGCGGUGAAAGUUUGCAGCUUAACUGUAAAAUUGCCGUUGAAACUGUCGAUCUUGAGUGCAAAUGAGGUAAGCGGAAUGUGUUGUGUAGCGGUGAAAUGCUUAGAUAUAACACAGAACACCGAUUGCGAAGGCAGCUUACUGGGAUGCAACUGACGCUCAUGCACGAAAGCGUGGGGAUCAAACAGGAUUAGAAACCCUUGUAGUCC